RNAcentral lists this ribosomal RNA (170 nucleotides) under uncultured Alphaproteobacteria bacterium. RNAcentral's name for it is "partial 16S ribosomal RNA". It matches the Rfam family "Bacterial small subunit ribosomal RNA", at positions 338 to 525 of the family's 1533-position model. Lineage: Bacteria; Pseudomonadati; Pseudomonadota; Alphaproteobacteria. The record is from RNAcentral.
UCUACGGGACGCAGCAGUGGGGAAUAUUGGACAAUGGGCGCAAGCCUGAUCCAGCCAUGCCGCGUGAGUGAUGAAGGCCUUAGGGUUGUAAAGCUCUUUCGUUGGGGAAGAUAAUGACGGUACCCAAAGAAGAAGCCCCGGCUAACUUCGUGCCAGCAGCCGCGGUAAUA